RNAcentral lists this small RNA (114 nucleotides) under Marinobacter lutaoensis. RNAcentral's name for it is "Guanidine-I sequence". It matches the Rfam family "Guanidine-I riboswitch aptamer". From Rfam's summary of the family: This family represents a conserved RNA structure found upstream of the ykkC and yxkD genes in Bacillus subtilis and related genes in other bacteria. The function of this family is unclear although it has been suggested that it may function to switch on efflux pumps and detoxification systems in response to harmful environmental molecules. The record is from Rfam by way of RNAcentral. Lineage: Bacteria; Pseudomonadati; Pseudomonadota; Gammaproteobacteria; Pseudomonadales; Marinobacteraceae.
ACAAUGGGUGACUAGGGUUCCGAUCCGGACACGGCCUGCCGGCCGCACCGGAUGGCUGGUCCGAGAGUCACCGACCUCUGGGAGGUUACACGGCGGGACAAAAGCCCGGGAGAU